GAUCCUGGCUCAGGAUGAACGCUGGCGGCGUGCUUAACACAUGCAAGUCGAACGAAGCACUUUUAUCGAUUUCUUCGGAAUGAAGUUUUAGUGACUGAGUGGCGGACGGGUGAGUAACGCGUGGGUAACCUGCCCUGUACCGGGGGACAACAGUUGGAAACGGCUGCUAAUACCGCAUAAGCGCACGGUUCCGCAUGGAACAGUGUGAAAAACUCCGGUGGUACAGGAUGGAUUCGCGUCUGAUUAG
Molecule: ribosomal RNA, 247 nt
Filed under: uncultured bacterium
Lineage: Bacteria
Description: partial 16S ribosomal RNA
Rfam family: Bacterial small subunit ribosomal RNA
Source: RNAcentral